Long non-coding RNA from Psammomys obesus (fat sand rat), 378 nucleotides. RefSeq lists it as uncharacterized. Lineage: Eukaryota; Metazoa; Chordata; Mammalia; Rodentia; Muridae. The transcript has 3 exons. The record is from RefSeq and is a predicted model, not a curated record.
GCUGGAACAGAGGGAAACGUUGGGAGAACAGCUUGUGUUUAGGGAUUUGGAGUUGAGACUUGGGAAAUCCAGAAGUCAGUUAUUCUUCGUCCCGCGCCUUUCAUUGCUGAUCCCCUCGCACGGAGGGUUGUUACCCUGAGUUCCUCGUGUGCCCCUGCGGCUGCCACAGACCUGGCAGAGACAUGGGAAGGAAGGAAGAAGAAGCAUCCUUGGUGUACAGGGGUCUGGCUGUGACAAACACCCAACAGAUGCAGCAUAAAUGAGAAAAGUUACAAGGACAUUCUAGGACUGUGGAGCAUGAAUAAAGACAUGGGAAGGAAGAAAGAAGCAGCAUCCUUGGUGUACAGGGGUCUGGCUGUGACAAACACCCAACAGAUG